Molecule: ribosomal RNA, 384 nt
Filed under: uncultured bacterium
Lineage: Bacteria
Description: bacterial SSU rRNA
Rfam family: Bacterial small subunit ribosomal RNA
Source: RNAcentral
GACGAACGCUGGCGGCGUGCCUAACACAUGCAAGUCGAGCGGUAAGGCCCUUUCGGGGGGUACACGAGCGGCGAACGGGUGAGUAACACGUGGGUGACCUGCCCUCAGCUCUGGGAUAAGCCCGGGAAACUGGGUCUAAUACUGGAUAUGACUCCAUGACGCAUGUUGUGGGGUGGAAAGCCUUGUGCGGCUGAGGAUGGGCCCGCGGCCUAUCAGCUUGUUGGUGGGGGAUGGCCUACCAAGGCGACGACGGGGUAGCCGGCCCUGANAGGGCGACCGGCCACACCUGGGACUCGAGACACGGCCCAGACUCCUACGGGAGGCAGCAGUGGGGAAUCUUGCGCAAUGGGCGAAAGCCUGACGCAGCGACGCCGCGUGAGGAUG